UCACACUGGAUCGAACGACUAAAGUAGGCAUAAAAGGCAGAGCUCGAAGUGAAUUUGUGCGAUUUAUAUUAUUAAAAUUUUUACACUUUUAUAGUACACAUUUUGUAUACGCUUUCCCAGCCAAUUUACAGCGUAUCUCAACGAUUAGCCCAGUGCGUGCAUAUUUUUAAACAACAUUACGUAUCGCGGUAGGGGCCAAGAACAGACACAGCAAAAAGCAGAGCAAAGAAAGAAAGUUCUAAAAAUAUUUUUAUCGUCGUGAAAGUCGAAUAUUUUAUUUCGCGCAACCAAUAAAGCUUUAAAUUAAAGACCAACGACGCAUAAUUAAUUGCAAAAAUGGUAUUGAAAGUGUACGUCAGCGGCAUGUCCGGCAACAAGGAGGUGAAAAAACGCCAACAGCGCGUUUUGAUGAUCCUGGACAGCAAGAGCAUUCAGUAUGAUACCGUUGACAUCACAGAGCCCGGCAAGGAGGGCGAAAAGGAGAUGAUGCAAAACAAAUCGACUAGCAAUGGCGGCACAGUCAGCGAUCCAGAUCCCAGGCAUCCAUUGCCGCCGCAGAUCUUCAACGAUGAGGAAUAUUGCGGCGACUACGAUGCCUUCGAUAUGGCCAACGAGAUUGAUACUCUGGAGGUGUUCCUCAAGCUGGCGCCAGCUGAUACAACGGCCGUGAGCAGUGCUCAAAUCGAACUGAAGCAGGAGAACGGCGUUGCCAAGGAUGGUGAGAAGGCUGAAGAGGAGAAAAAAGCUCCAGCGGAAGGUGAAGCCGAAGCUGAAGCUGAAGCUGGCGCAGCCGAGGAAACGGGCGAGGAGAAGGCAGAGGUUUGAGAGCUUUGAGCAAUUUGUACUUUUCUGUUUACUGUUAUGACGCGACAACAACAACAAUAAGCCUGCACAGAAGCAACCACAAUGACAACAACAAUAACAUUAACAUUAACAGCAACUUCUACUAAUGAGACGCAAUUCAAGUUCGACGCCAGCCAUGUUAACAGUAGCAAUAACAGCAAAAUGUACUCUAACAGCAUUUCGGCAAUUGGGCGCAAUAUAACGGUUUGUUCGAGCUUCUGUAUUACCACGACUGCGGUUCUUUAAGUUAAGCUACUAUAUUUAUAUAUAAAGCGUAUAUAUAUAUAUGUAUUUAUGACAUGCAUACUACACACUAAUUUUAUGAAGUGAUUGUGUUCACGCUGCGGUAAAAAUUACAACUUUUAAUCAAAAUGCAUAUUUAUUUAUAAUAAUACACUCACACACUUUUGUAUGUAUGGUAACAUCAUUUGUAUUGAUAACAUUUUGUUGAAAAACACACACACUCGAGAAAAUUUCAUAUUAAUUUAAUACUAAAUUGAAUAGAGUGUAUUUAACUAAAAUCUGUACGAUUUGUGCGGCUGAGUUAUGUUAAUGCGAAAACAUAAAAAUCCGCUGAAUAUAUAAGUACAUAUUUAAUAAAAACGAAAUAUAUUUGUAUUUACUAAAAACAACAAAAGCUUUUAUAACACACACUAAACACAACGCAACAGCACAAGCCGCGCCUCGAAAGCUGUUGUUUAACAGCGCAUGUAAGAUAACAGCGAUCCAUUUUGUAAAUUGUAAUGUUAACAUAUUGCGCUCGUCAAUUUUCAAAGCAAAAGGAAGAAGAUAGCGAGCAAACGAGUGAAGAUAAGGAUAAAGAAGCUAAAGAGGGCGAUGAUGCAGACAAAAAAGAUGAGAAUAGUGAAGAAAAGACUGAAACCGCAGCCGCAGAAGGUAACGGAGAAUCAGAAUCCGAAGAAAAGAAAGCGGAAUCCACAGACAAAACAGAUGAUGAGAAAGAGAAUGAUGCAAAGGAAUCGGAUGAGAAAGAGGGUGAAGGUAAGGAAACGAAAGAAACUGCGGAGAAUCCGGGAGACGAGUCAAAGGAAAAGUCCAAAGAAGAGAAGUCUGAAGAUGCCGAAGACGAAACGAAGGAGAAAACGAAAGAUCUUGAAGAGAGUAAGAAUGACAAAACUGAAGAUAAGACAGAAGAAGUAGACGAAGAAACUGAAGAAAAAGUAGAGGAUAAAAAAGAAACUGAAGAAAAAUCAACCGCCGAUUCUAAUGCAGAGGAAGAGAAGCCGGAAGA
Drosophila montana is the source of this 2095-nucleotide RNA transcript. It is a transcript of the gene named Sh3beta, with no coding region annotated. The record is from RefSeq and is a predicted model, not a curated record. Lineage: Eukaryota; Metazoa; Arthropoda; Insecta; Diptera; Drosophilidae. The transcript has 4 exons.